RNAcentral lists this ribosomal RNA (255 nucleotides) under uncultured bacterium. Its description in RNAcentral is "partial 16S ribosomal RNA". It matches the Rfam family "Bacterial small subunit ribosomal RNA", at positions 524 to 776 of the family's 1533-position model. The record is from RNAcentral.
UACGUAGGGUGCGAGCGUUAAUCGGAAUUACUGGGCGUAAAGCGUGCGCAGGCGGUCUGUUAAGACCGAUGUGAAAUCCCCGGGCUUAACCUGGGAACUGCAUUGGUGACUGGCGGGCUAGAGUAUGGCAGAGGGGGGGUAGAAUUCCACGUGUAGCAGUGAAAUGCGUAGAGAUGUGGAGGAAUACCGAUGGCGAAGGCAGCCCCCCUGGGCCAAUACUGACGCUCAUGCACGAAAGCGUGGGGAGCGAACAGG